Molecule: long non-coding RNA, 541 nt
Filed under: Manihot esculenta (cassava)
Lineage: Eukaryota; Viridiplantae; Streptophyta; Magnoliopsida; Malpighiales; Euphorbiaceae
Description: long non-coding RNA (MESC_LNC011849)
Source: RNAcentral
GAAAAGUGACUGGGUCGGAGUGAUUUGGCUAAAUCACUCGCAGAAACUGGUCAAAUCACUCGCAGAGACUGAGACAGAAACUGGACUGAGUCCCAGAAAGCGAUUGGGGCAGAUCGAGCAAGCGAUUUGCCUAAAUCACCUUGACAGCAGAAAUUGACAGCAGAGGCGGGAAAAGUGCAGGGAACCGAAUUUCGAAUUUUUAGGAGUCCAAAUCCAACUCAAUUACUACCAACACAAUUCCAAGAGCCACGAAAGAGUUUCUCACCUAAGAAAUUCCAUUUGCAAUUAAAUUCAACAUCAAAAGAGGAAUCAAAGACCAAAUCAAAAUAGGGAUUCUAAACCCUAAUUGGACUUGGACUCUUCACCUAUAAAAGGAGGCAACUAAAACCAGCAAAGGAGAAUCUCAUCAUCUCUUCUCAGCAUCUGCCAUUGGCAGAAAUCCAGUAGUCCCUCUUCUUUUCUUUUCUUCUUUCUUUUGUGUAUUUUAGUCCACCAUGAGUGGCUAAACAUCCCUUUUCUAGUUGAAGUUGGAAAAUUCAGA